RNAcentral lists this transfer RNA (69 nucleotides) under Macropharyngodon negrosensis (yellowspotted wrasse). Its description in RNAcentral is "tRNA-Glu". It matches the Rfam family "tRNA". From Rfam's summary of the family: Transfer RNA (tRNA) molecules are approximately 80 nucleotides in length. Their secondary structure includes four short double-helical elements and three loops (D, anti-codon, and T loops). The record is from RNAcentral. Lineage: Eukaryota; Metazoa; Chordata; Actinopteri; Labriformes; Labridae.
GUUCUUGUAGUUAAAAAAUAACGGUGGUUUUUCAAGCCAUUAUUCCUGGUUAAAGUCCUGGCAGGAACC